UACGGAGGGAGCUAGCGUUGUUCGGAAUUACUGGGCGUAAAGCGCACGUAGGCGGCUCAGCAAGUCAGGGGGGAAAUCCCGGGGCUCAACCCCGGAACUGCCCUUGAAACUGCUAAGCUAGAAUCUUGGAGAGGCGAGUGGAAUUCCGAGUGUAGAGGUGAAAUUCGUAGAUAUUCGGAAGAACACCAGUGGCGAAGGCGACUCGCUGGACAAGUAUUGACGCUGAGGUGCGAAAGCGUGGGGAGCAAACAGG
Molecule: ribosomal RNA, 253 nt
Filed under: uncultured bacterium
Lineage: Bacteria
Description: partial 16S ribosomal RNA
Rfam family: Bacterial small subunit ribosomal RNA
Source: RNAcentral